UUGCAAGGCUUGCCUUGAAAUUCCGGGGGUUCGCCCCCAUAAUCGUCUCACGGUCGUAAUUCCGGCAAACUGGAAGCGUUCUGGACGGCGGUUCGAUUCCGCCCACCUCCACCACAGGGGGGGUGAUCUGGUCUCGACAGGGUGAUAGAAGGCGAGCAGGCGGCCCGAGAGGCGACGGACGUAAUCCGCGCAAAUUAGUAAACGCCAACGAUGAGCGUUUUGCAAUGGCCGCUUAAGGCCUAUGCCGAGGCUGCUUGAGCCUUGUUACCAAAGAAAAGCCGGCGGGGACUUCGGUCCCCGUCGUCA
RNAcentral lists this transfer-messenger RNA (306 nucleotides) under Betaproteobacteria bacterium. It matches the Rfam family "Betaproteobacteria transfer-messenger RNA". From Rfam's summary of the family: Bacterial tmRNA, also known as 10Sa RNA or SsrA, is named for its dual tRNA and mRNA-like properties. Lineage: Bacteria; Pseudomonadati; Pseudomonadota; Betaproteobacteria. RNAcentral also lists the same sequence under 1 other name. The record is from RNAcentral.